Molecule: unclassified non-coding RNA, 198 nt
Filed under: Glomeromycetes sp.
Lineage: Eukaryota; Fungi; Glomeromycota; Glomeromycetes
Description: partial contains 5.8S ribosomal RNA and internal transcribed spacer 2
Rfam family: 5.8S ribosomal RNA (bases 1-71)
Source: RNAcentral
GUGAAUCAUCGAAUUUUUGAACGCAAAUUGCGCUUCCUGGUAUCCUGGGAAGUAUGCCUGUUCGAGGGUCAGUAUUAAUAAAAAAUCGGGUUAGUUACAAAUUGUGACGUUACCGGGGUUUGGCCUAUCUUAACAUCUUUGGUUAAGAGGCUUAAAAUUGACGUAUUUAUAGCCUUCUUAAAUGUACAUAAAUUUUUU